AUGAAGUGUACUACUGUUAAUUCGUGUCCACAUCUGGCACAUAUAGGAACUGGUUCUCCCUUCAGUAGUGAGUCCAGGAUUAUCCCAUUUAGCUAUGGUCGGUUUGAUGUUUUUAAGGCCAUUAAGAAAUGUAUAGCGAUAAACAUCUUACUAGAAGAGUCAGGUUGAAAAUAUUGUUGAACAAUAUCUGCAGUGUUGAGAGACUCGG
This is a long non-coding RNA of Photinus pyralis (common eastern firefly), 208 nucleotides long. RefSeq lists it as uncharacterized. The record is from RefSeq and is a predicted model, not a curated record. The transcript is spliced from 3 exons. NCBI's taxonomy places the organism in Eukaryota, Metazoa, Arthropoda, Insecta, Coleoptera, Lampyridae.